This 494-nucleotide ribosomal RNA is filed under the name uncultured bacterium. RNAcentral describes it as "partial 16S ribosomal RNA". It matches the Rfam family "Bacterial small subunit ribosomal RNA", at positions 28 to 507 of the family's 1533-position model. The record is from RNAcentral.
GACGAACGCUGGCGGCGUGCUUAACACAUGCAAGUCGAACGGAAAGGCCUGCUUUCCCUUGUGGAUUGCGGGUACUCGAGUGGCGAACGGGUGAGUAACACGUGAGUGAUCUGCCCCCAACUUGGGUAUAAGCCUGGGAAACUGGGUCUAAUUCCCGAUAGGACUGCAGGGUGGUGCCUGUGGUGGAAAACGAUUUUCUAGUGGUUGGGGAUGAGCUCGCGGCCUAUCAGCUUGUUGGUGGGGUAAUGGACUACCAAGGCGGCGACGGGUAGCCGGCCUGAGAGGGUGGACGGCCACAUUGGGACUGAGAUACGGCCCAGACUCCUACGGGAGGCAGCAGUGGGGAGUAUUGCACCAUGGGCGGGAGCCUGAUGCAGCGACGCCGCGUGGGGGAUGACGGCCUUCGGGUUGUAAACUCCUUUCGACCGCGAGGAAGCCACCUGGUUGGAAGGGUGGUGACGGUAGUGGUAGAAGAAGCACCGGCUAACUACGUG